AAGGGGAGCAAUCCCUGAGUAAAGUGGCGACCGGGUGAGUAACACGUGACUAACCUACCCUCGAGUGUGGAAUAACAUCGGGAAACCGAUGCUAAUACCGCAUAAUAUCGCAAGAUCAAAGGAGCAAUCCGCUUGAGGAGGGGGUCGCGGCUGAUUAGCUAGUUGGCGGGGUAACGGCCCACCAAGGCGAAGAUCGGUAUCCGGCCUGAGAGGGCGCACGGACACACUGGAACUGAAACACGGUCCAGACUCCUACGGGAGGCAGCAGUGGGGAAUUUUGCGCAAUGGGGGAAACCCUGACGCAGCAACGCCGCGUGGAGGAUGAAGCCCCUUGGG
Molecule: ribosomal RNA, 336 nt
Filed under: uncultured bacterium
Lineage: Bacteria
Description: bacterial SSU rRNA
Rfam family: Bacterial small subunit ribosomal RNA
Source: RNAcentral